GAUGAAGAACGUAGCGAAAUGCGAUAAGUAAUGUGAAUUGCAGAAUUCAGUGAAUCAUCGAAUCUUUGAACGCACAUUGCGCCCAUUAGCAUUCUAGUGGGCAUGGCUGUUCGAGCGUCAUUUCAACCCUUAAGCCCUGUUGCUUAGCGUUGGGAGCCUACAGUACUGUAGCUCCCCAAAGUUAGUGGCGGAGUCGGUUUCACACUCUAGACGUAGUAAUUUUUUCUCGUCUGUAGUUGAGCCGGUCCCCUGCCGUAAAACACCCAAUUUAUCAAGGUUGACCUCGGAUCAGGUAGGAAUACCCGCUGAACUUAAGCAUAUCAAUAAGCGGAGGA
Molecule: unclassified non-coding RNA, 335 nt
Filed under: soil metagenome
Description: partial contains 5.8S ribosomal RNA, internal transcribed spacer 2, and large subunit ribosomal RNA
Rfam family: 5.8S ribosomal RNA (bases 1-120)
Source: RNAcentral